Molecule: ribosomal RNA, 390 nt
Filed under: Triticum aestivum (bread wheat)
Lineage: Eukaryota; Viridiplantae; Streptophyta; Magnoliopsida; Poales; Poaceae
Description: partial small subunit ribosomal RNA
Source: RNAcentral
AUGAAUUUUAAACAACUUGAUCAUGAGCAUGUUGCCCAAUCUUGGGAAAGAAUGAAAUUAAUGCUUCACAAUUGCCCUACUCAUGGUUUGAAUUUAUGGAUGAUCAUACAAAAAUUUUAUGCCGGAUUGAAUUUUGCUUUUAGAAAUCUUUUAGAUUCGGCCGCAGGAGGCACUUUUAUGGAAAUUACAUUAGGGGAUGCUACCAAAUUGCUUGAUAAUAUCAUGGCUAAUUAUUCUCAAUGGCACACCGAAAGAUCUUCUAGUAAGAAAGUGCAUGCUAUAGAAGAAAUCAAUGUUUUGAGUAAAAAGAUGGAUGAACUUAUGAAGAUGUUUGCUCCUAAAAAUACUCCUCUUGAUCCCAAUGAUAUGCCUUUAUCUACCUUGCUUUAG